CUGGCGCGCUGGGCGCCAGCUAGUAGUCGCGGGGAGCACAAGGCAUGGGGAAACUGGUGACACUGACCCUGCUGGGGGCCUUCCUGGCCCUACUCGGGGAGAGGCUUGUAGCGUUUAGAAAGACAAUUAAUGCAAAUCGAGAACUGGAGCCAAUAGAACCCCAGCACUGCCAACUUAUUGAGGGGCUUGAAAAUGGCUCUGAAGAUAUUGAUAUUCUUCCCAAUGGGCUGGCUUUUAUCUCUAGUGGGUUAAAAUACCCAGGCAUGCCAAGCUUUGCUCCUGAUGAACCAGGACAAAUCUUCUUGAUUGAUAUGAACAAACAAAAAACAAAGGCCCAGGCACUAUCUAUCAGUGAUGGUUUUGACAAAGGAUCAUUUAAUCCACAUGGAAUUAGUACUUUCAUUGACAAAGACCAUACUGUAUAUCUUUAUGUUGUGAAUCAUCCCCACAAGGAGUCCACUGUGGAGAUAUUUAAAUUUGAGAAGCAGCAACGUUCUCUCAUACACCUGAAGACCAUAAAACACAAACUGCUCAAGAAUGUGAAUGACAUAGUGGUUCUUGGACCAGAACAGUUCUAUGCCACCAGAGACCACUAUUAUACCAACUUCUUCCUGUUGCUAAUAGAGAUAUUUAUGGAUCUUCAUUGGACUUAUGUUCUUUUCUACAGUCCAAGCGAAGUCAAAGUAGUGGCCAAAGGAUUUAGGUCUCCCAAUGGGAUCACAGUGUCGCCAGACAAGAUGUAUAUCUAUGUAGCAGAUGUAAUGGCUCACAACAUUCAUGUAAUGAAGAAACAGGAUAACUGGGAUUUAACUCCAUUGAAGGUAAUACAGUUAAACACUUUAGUGGAUAAUUUAACUGUUGAUCGUGUCACAGGAGAUAUUUUGGCUGGAUGCCAUCCUAAUGCCAUGAAGCUUCUGAUCUAUAACCCUGAGGAUCCUCCAGGAUCAGAAGUACUUCGUAUCCAGAAUGUUUUGUCUGAGCAUCCCAAGAUCAACACCCUGUAUGCCAACAAUGGCUCUGUGCUUCAGGGCAGCACUGUAGCUUCUUUGUACCAGAAGAAACUUCUUAUAGGCACCAUUUUUCAUAAAACUCUCUAUUGUGAACUCUAGACCCCAGAGAGUCCAAAAAGUCUGCAUGCUAGAAGUCACCCUCUGAUUGUAUUAUAAAUGGAGCUGAAAUAUGAAUAAAUGGG
RNA transcript from Condylura cristata (star-nosed mole), 1192 nucleotides. It is a transcript of the gene named paraoxonase 3, with no coding region annotated. The record is from RefSeq and is a predicted model, not a curated record. The transcript has 10 exons. NCBI's taxonomy places the organism in Eukaryota, Metazoa, Chordata, Mammalia, Eulipotyphla, Talpidae.